This is a long non-coding RNA of Dermochelys coriacea (leatherback sea turtle), 11729 nucleotides long. RefSeq lists it as uncharacterized. The record is from RefSeq and is a predicted model, not a curated record. The transcript has 2 exons. Lineage: Eukaryota; Metazoa; Chordata; Testudines; Dermochelyidae.
CCCCAAACAGCUUUGAGUCUAGAACAGAAAUAAAACCAGUGGGGUUUAAUGGUAAAUGUUAAAGUAGUUAGCUGUGUUGCUUUUUACCCACUUCUGUGAACUUUUGCAUCAGAAUGUGGGUAUUGAGAAACAGCUUCCAUGGCACCAUUAAAUGGAUUCUUAGAACUACUGUGUUUAUUGUCCUUGAGGUUCUGACAUCUUAGUGUGAGGGCUGUUUAAGGAUGUCAUUUUGAGCUUUCAGAGCAUGAGAUCAGUGAAUGAAGUCCCCUGUGCAGCUUCCCAUCCCAUUAAUCUAAUCCUGUGUUGUAGGAAGGCCAUCUUAAUCUCCAGGAUUGAGAGGUGAGAUUGCUAUUUCCUUAAAAAUGAACUAUGAAGCAACACACACAGUGUGCAUUUGCUUUCUACUCCUCCUUUGAUAGCAAGGCUUGAAGAGGAUCUCAAACUUUGUUCUGCUUGUCUGUCUUUCAUAUUGGGAAUAUCUGCUCCUCAUUUUCUUCUUUGUUCGCAGUUUCUGGCAAAGCUCCUUGGAGGAGGAUGUUACUGAUGUCACACAAGGCGAUAACCUGAGCUUCAGCUCCCCAUCCAAAAUGAGAUGGGGAAGGAAUGCUGAUUCUCAGACUGGAAACUGACAGCCUAAGACUACUGUUCAUGGUCUAAGAAUCGGCAUUCUCUCUUGUCUUCCCAUCUCUGCUUGAUGUCAAUAAUCUGGUCCUCCAAUGAUCUUUCCAGAGCCCUUUAAGAAAGAAGGGAGAAUCUGAUGUUUCAAAUAUGAAAACUGUUCUAGCGUGAGGGGAGAGGGAUUGCAUCUGUCUUUGAACAUAAUAAAGGAGACUUUAUGCUUCAUCAUUCAUUUUUAAGCAAUGCCCAUGCCUUUGGACCUUGGUGCUUAGAGAUCUCUUGAAUUCAUCUUCUCUUGUUUUUUUUUGUUUUGUUUGUUUGUUUGUUUUUUGGACUUUUAAAUUAUUCGGAGAGCUCUGCAUGAACAGUGAAAUGAAAAUACAAGCAAAUUUUUUAUGGCAGAUCCUUGCAUGGAAGCAGGUUAUUUUACACUAUCUGUCUUUGUGUUCUCCAUUUACUUUUGACAUCAGAAGUUAACCUUUAAGGAAGUGGUGUAUUCUUUCUCUUCCAGCAUAUCUUUUGGUGGAAGAGAUUUGCCCUGCUCCUCUCAGGUCACCGAUUAAGAUGAAUGGCCUAUUGUAGUUCCUGAACACUGCCAAAUUAAUAGCCCAGAGAAUCUUAUUAAUUAUCUUUUCACUGAAGAGUGAACAUGUUUUCUAACAGCUACUGAAAUAAUAAAUCUAUAAUUCUUUUAGAAUCUUGUUGUCUUUUCCACCCAUUCCUCCUCUACAGGGUGACAGAUUUGAACUUUCAGCUUUCUUUCUUAUUUCCCCUUCACACACACCCAACUUCUCUUCCUUCCUGGAGUGUAUGACAUGAGAUAAGAACUAUGCAAUGUUGCCGUCUCACUUUCCCCUGUCUUGAAGUUUGACUCUUACUGCAAGGAUGUAAACUGGAGAACUCUCUAAGUGGAAAAGGUGUAGCAGAGGUUUCAAGACUAGCCUUACAGUGCAAAGGAUGUGAAGUUUUCUUUGAUGAUAAUGAAGGGAAAUGGAAGCAAAUAUAAUCAGCUGGUUAUAAUCCUGCUUUCCAUGCACCACAACCAAUCCACUUGUGAUAUUCUGCUUCUGCCAGUAGCCUGGUAAACUUGAGUUUUCCUAUCUAAAACAUCUUUUUAUGUAUGUUGUGUCUUUGUUCCACAGAAAGGAGCUACUGUUUUUAUUUAAACUUUGAAACUGCAAGAUGCAAAUUCCGUUAAAAUCAUUUAUCGUAAGUGAUCUUGCCUAACAAAACUGUUAGUGCUCCUUGUGGAUGCUCCAGACUAGAUAAAAAUCUUGAGUAUUCCUGAGUGUGUGAAUACUGUCAGGGAGCGAAAGUGGGACUUUAGUUUCAGUUGAGUGAGUUCAAGGGCAGUGAGGAUGAAAUUCAGCAUAACUUACUUUGGCAAAUGAAAGAGGAUGUCGUGGAAAGCUGGGGGAGAGUCUCUGAGCAGAAGAAGAAUGAUGCUGUCUUCUUACUUCUCAACUAAACAAUGAAACCGCCUCAGGAAGGUCUUGGGCCCAUAGACACACUUGGAACCAAGGAGGAACUGGGAAACUGACUCUUGCUUCUGCAGUUUCUUAUAGGAGACUUGUGUAUGUUUCCCGUGACUGAAGCAAAUGAUCCUGGUUUGCUGUUUUGCUCUAAGUCUGAUGUUGAAUCCCAUGCAAUGGGCCAGGCUGUGUACUGACUGCAGGAGUUGGGGGAUUCUUCUUUGUUUUUCCUUUUUUUUCCUGUGACCCACAGUCACAACCUGGGCUACAUUCAUACAGAACUGUAAACUAGCUUGUAGCUGAUUCCAGGCUUUGCUGUUGCAGCUGCUGGGUUGAGCCAGAGGUGAGGGGUAUGGAGUGGGGCGAAUGAGUAUGGGACUAGUGGCAAAUGCAGAGGGGCAGUGUUCAGGGGGAGCUGACAGGGAACCAAGGUAGUCAUGGUUUGGGGGUGUGGGGCAAAUUAGAGAAAAAACACUGUGCCUACCUUCUUGGAAUGAAGGGCUGGGAGGGGGCUCUGUAGGAGAAAGCAGACUGUUGCAGAAUGGGGAAAGAAGGUGCAGAGGACGUGGGGCCAUAGAGAAGUCCCUGGGAGGGGGCUGCAAGUUGCUAUGGGACACUUGGAAAGGACAGAGAGAGGCCAAGUGUUUUUUUUUUUUAUCCACACUGAAUUAUCAGGACAUAAACAUUAGUGUUUCCCUGUGCACAAAAGCUUGUCCCUCUUCCAUCGUUCGCUAUCCCGUGUAUCCCUCAUGCAGGAGACGAAGCCCUGCUUUGAGCUUGCUAUGAUCUAUGAGAGGAGGGGGCGAGGGGCCCUUCCUCUGGGCUUUAUAUGCCAACCCAACUUAAACUUGGCACGCAUUUAAAAUCAGGGAGAUUCCCAAACAAAGCUUGUUUUAAUAAGUUUAAUGUUGAAAGUGUGUUCCAGUGGACUCCUUCAAAAACAAAUCUUGACCAAAAUUUGACACUGUUAGAAAAAUCAGAAAAUUAAAAAUUCUGAACUUUACUGAUUCACCUCUCACUCUCACACUGCCUGUUUUACACCACCCAACCAUCUUUAACUGUCCGUUUAAAACUAGUGAGGUUUGUGCUAAGGUCAAAAUGACAAAUGACGAGUUCAUAAAAUCCUGUUUCUUAUUCAAAGACUCCAUUUCCAUGGUAGUAUAGCAGAGAACAGUGCAACACUACUUGCUACAAAAUUUGCAUUUGUUAGUUGCUACACAUUAUUGUUAAUGGAGUUAAAAAUACAAACUUGCAAGCUGUACCCACAUUUACAUAAACCUUCAACGCCAUAGAGUCAGCCUGUCUUAUGACGCCACAGAUCAGUCGUGUUUCCACUUUGUUCCACCAGUAUAUCACGCUGAGAAAAUGUACGGAACUUGAAUGUAACAAUGUACCUGAGGCUCUACACUUUGAAAUAUUUACUAUCCAUUGAAUAAACAACAUAGACCUAGCAGCCAAAGAAAACUACUUACACUCACUGGUGUAAAUCAGGUAAGAUAGUAAGUGAUGGCAGAAUGAUGGAGAAGGUAUGGCAGUGGAUCCCUUAAAUGUUAACUUCCCAGAUUGUUUAAAGGUGUAGGGCUUUUAUGAAGAGGGUGUAAUUUUUGGGUAGUAGCUGGACUCUAAAGCACACUUUCAACUUUAAUUCCUUUGGAAAAAAAACUCCAAACCUUCUUAUUUGGGAGUAAAUAUUAUGAGGUAACUUUUGGUCUCAAGCCUUGCCUAAAUUUUGCAAAUGCUUUCCAUGAUUGCCAGCCCUGGUUCAGGUCCUCCCCUUUCUGCAGUCCUGAGAGCUCUAGUGUAGAUGGACUGCUGCCACUGUUUUCAGCACAGUGUUGUUAGACCUGCUGUGAACAAGAUCAGGUGACGAUUUAAAAACACUGGUGAUGUGUUAACAAAGUUAGGAGCCCCCAGUGUAAACUUGUGGAGAUGAACUGAUGGUAGCUACAGCAAGAAAUUUUGGAAAAUUUCUGUAAUAGACACACAGCUUGUGUGUGACUUUGAAUUGGCUGGCCAAGUAGGAACUGGUCACCUAAGGAUGCUUUCCAAAUUUCUUGCAUUAUGGAUAAAUGCAGACUGUGGAGGGGAGCUCCUACAUAGGACUUGCCAGACUUGGUCAGAUCCAUGGUCCAUCUAGUCCAAUAUCCUUUCUCGAACAGUCGCCAGCACCAUGUAUUUCAAAGGAAGGUGCAAGAAACCAUGUAGUAGGCAGGUGUGGGAUAAUCUGCUCCCCAUGAGUGUCUUCAUCCUAAACACUAAUAAUUAGAAACUGGUUUAAAUCCCAAAGCAGGAGGUUUGAUAUUAAUUCCCAAACUUUUUCUUUUUUCUUUUUUACUGUUGUUCUCAGAUGUUAUUAGAUGUUAUAAAUGUCCAGUCUUUUUUUGAGUCUUGAUAAGCUCUUGUCUUCAACAGUAUCCUGAGGCAGUGGGUUCCACAGUAGAUAUGUGAAAAGAUAAUUUCUGUUGUCCAUUUUGAGUUUGGCACCUUUCAAUUUGUUUGAAUGUUCCCUUGCUCUAGUGUUAGAGAACUUCUUGGUCAGGAAGCUUGGUCUCUCUGUGAAUGUAAUGGAAACAACAGUGGAGCCGGGAGCUCUGAAGUGGAUUUCUUCAUUAGCUGGAGGGCAGGAGCUACAAGGAAGAGCCGUGUGCUCUGGUAUUAGACACCUAAUGUGGGUAGUGGUAGGGGUCCCUCGGAUAUUUGUAGUGAUGAAUCUUGACUGUUCUAACCCUAGUUUUUCCUCUUCUGUCAGAGGCAGAUUCUCACUUGUGGCUGUUCUUGGCAUGGCAGCUUUUGGGGAAAUCUGAAUUAGUGUGCUCAUAGCAAGUCUUGAGGCACAUCAGACGUGCUGCGGUCUUCUAGGCCUUGUAUGCAUUACAGAUAGUUGCUGUGUUUGAUUGUGGUGAUGAAGAAUUGAGUUAGCUGACAACUUUUUCCUGGACUACCCUGUCGGCUAAUUUUAAUUCUUCAAAGCCCUAUUCAGACAGUCACUGUGUAUCAUGUAGACAGGGCUCUAUAGGUAGCCAAGUAAAACAGGAGUGUAGCAAUGACCUUGGAAGGCCAUUGGAGAAUCUAGCAGCACACGUCCUUGAAAGUUGCUAAUAUUUAUAUUAGUCACUGUUAUGCAAAAGUUUCCCUUCUACUCCUCUAUUUUUCAUGUUUACAAAUUUAUGGAAAAUUCUUAUUUUGUUCCUAAAUUUUACAUGUUGAUCUCUACCUAAAAGUGGCCUUUUCAUAAAUUGGAGCAAAAUUCUUUCAGUUGAUCUUGAAAAAUACUUUUUCCCUGUAUUAAGAAAAUCUAGUCACUUUUUUAAGGAGAGCUAUAUGAAAAAUGACUGAAGAUUUAAACUUGGCAUAGACACAGUCCUUGAGAAGUAGUGCCUGUACUACACUUAAAAUACCUUGGUUUUGAUUGACUAAAAUAGACAGUUUGAAAAUUGCCUAAGCCAAGCCUUCUCAAGAGAAAAUUAAAUUUCCAUGUGCACACUUCAGGAGACAUAGAUUGUUCGCAAGUUCACAGCUAGUUAGGUACAUGCACAGAUUGGUUCAAGAAGCUUAUGGUGCGGCUUGUGAAGUCUGCACAGAUUGGAGAUUUUGCCAGUCUAGUAGCUCUGGUUAAAAGAAUUUACAAGGUCUGUAAGCUUAAAAUUAAAGGGAAAGAAGUGUGUUAAUGCAGCGUUAACAAUACAUAAUUGACUGCUGCAUUCACUGAUGUGAUCUGAAUAUUCUAACAUUACUCAGCUGUGUUGCAUGUAAGUACUAUUUUCUUUCUCUCUUGGGAAAUAGCUAAGUUCCUAGAAGGACAGACUAUGAAAACAUACUGUAUGUGUAAUGUGGCCAAGUUAACUUUUGCAUUUCCCAAUGUUUUAUUAUCUUAACUGUGGUAUGAUGUGAAUACCAUUUCUUGCAUGUAAUAUGUCACAUUCAAUAUAAAACAUAAUAGAUAUGUGUUUAAUUCACAGAACUCUCGGUUGACCCUCCCAAACGCCCUCUUCUGUGUUCUUUUCUCUCUUGUCUCUGUUGCAGUUAGGCCUUUCCAGAUGCAGCCAAAUUUUCCAAAAGUGGCCACUGAUUUUAGGAGUCUCAGUUGUUGCAAGUCCAGUGUAGGGUACCUGAGGCCAGAUUUUCAGGGGUGCUUAGUACCUGUGGCUCCCAUUGACUUCAAUUGAAAUAUUGUGCUAGAACAGCAUGUUUUGGGACACACAAACCGAAAACCAGAGGUGAAGGGGAUCACCAUACAGGCUUUGUCCAUCAUGCCUAAUGCUGAGUAACUGCAUUCUGAUGCCCUCUCUUUGAAGUUGAGAGAGUUGACUGAGUUAAUCAAGUUGGUCUCUCCCCUCACCCCCAUGCACCAACAACAGCAAACUUGAUGAAUUAACAGAGACUGCUCUGUCAGGGAGACAAAUGCCUUUCCCCUCUGCUGUACGCUGCCCCUCUGAGAUUAAGGAAAUUCCUGCUGACACUUUACAUGGGACUGUAGCUGUUUGGAUUACUAGAAUGAGGGCAAUUGGCAUUUAGUUCCUGUAACAAUCCCCCUUCACUCUAGACAGUAUCUUUUGUCUUCUAUUUGGAAUUGGUUUUCAUGUGGCGUUAAUCUGGGGUAAUACACAGCAUCUGGCAUCAAUGUUUGUAGAAAGCAUGUCAGAGUUCUCAUUUGUAAUGAUCUUCACUUGCAGUAUGCAAGUCUACUGUAGGGAAGGCAUCAUGAGAUUCUGUCCAGCCUGCUGUAGCAAGCUGUAACUGUUUUUAAUCACCGUCAUCUGUUUCUACGCUGGGGGUUUCUACAAACAUUUCUCAUCAUUGCUAUCAUCAAUGGUAGCAACAUUGGGAGCUAGGGUAAGCAGGGCUCCAGGAUCCCAUUGCAUUAAGCGCAGCAUUCAGAGCAGAUUAGCAUGACGAUACUUAAAAUGCCAGUGACUGUUGGUGCACAGUUCACAUGAGCAUGUUUAUUGAUAUCACUGAUUGGACUCCACUAGGGGUGUCAGUGGUAGGACCCUAUAGGAAAGUGUUCUGGUGUAGACAAGACCCUUUUUGCUGGUUGGGUUCUAGUAACUUCUCCUUGACUUGUGUUUCAGACUACAAUCCCCAUUUCGGGACAUGACUACACUACAAACUGUCGUUGACACAAAGUACAUUCUUGUACAGUGACCACCAUUGCUCGUGCGAAUGCAUGCUUGGCUGCUUGCAUCUGCAUUGUAUGUGCUCACCAGGAGUGCUUGUGUCACUGCAAAGUGUGUUGCAUGUCGCUGUCAGUGGUGUAAUGCCUUUUGGGAACUUUUUGCAAUGUGUAUGGAGUAGAAAUGAGUCACGUAGGACCUUUGAGAACUAGGGGUCAAGUUACUAGCAUGCAACUUUCUUCAUCCCAUAAUGCCAUUCAUAGAUUAUAGUUGUGCCUUUUUAAAAAAAAUCCCACCAACCUUCAUGGCACUUUCGGUGUCUCCCCUCUCUGACAGAAGCGUGGAGCCCAAGGAGCUCUGUGCUAUUCUCAUGAAUGUUGCAAAUACAGGAGGCACAAUUCUCCUGUUGUUACAGACCCACAGGAAGUACCGCAGCAAAUGGGGGACAUGAGAAUUUCUUCAAGGACAGUUUACUAAGGGAUGUAGCGAAAAACAGUUCAGGAUUGUUGGUGGGGUUCAAAGAGCAACUGCAGACAGCUGAUCACCACUUCUGAGCCCAAGAAACGAGCACUGGUGGGUGGGAUCACAUCAUAAUGCAGGUUUGGGAAGAUGAGCAGCGGCUGCAGAACUUUUGGAUGCAAAAGGCCAUAGUGCUGGAUCUCUGUGCUGAGCUGUCCCCAGACCUCCAGUACAGGGACACCAGAAUGAGAGCUGCAUUGACAGUGGAGAAGAGAGUGGUGAUUUCACUCUGGAAACUUGGAAUGCUGAAUUGCUACCAGUAAUGGGAAAUCAUUUUGGAGUUCGAAAAUCCACAGUAGGGACCAUUGUCAGUUAAAUGUGUAGGGCUAUUAGUCGUCUCCUGCUACUCAGGACUGUGACUCUUCGCAAUGUGCAGGACAUGGUGGAUUGCUAGUGAGGGGUUCCUAAACUGCGGUGGGGCAAAAGACCACACUCGUAUGCCUAUUUUAGCACAAGUCCACCUUGCAACAGAGCCAUCAACAAAAAGGGUUCCUUUUCUAUGGUUAAGCAAGCAUUGGUCAGUCACCAGGGACGUUUCAGUGAUGCCUAUGUGGGCUGGUCUGUGAAGGUGCAUGAUGCUUGCAUCUUUAAGAAGACGGGAUUGCUCAGAAAGCUGCAAGCAGGGACUUUCUUUCCCAACUGGCAGCUUACCAUUGGCAAUAUUGAAAUGCCAGUAUUGAUUCUGUGGGACCCAGCCUGCUCUUUGCUCCCCUGGCUCAUGACUUAUGCUGACUACCUCAAGACCACUAAGGAAAGACUCAGCUACUGACUCAGCAGGUGCAGAAUGACUGUUGAAUAUGGUUAUGGUGGAUUGAAGGGACGCUGGUGGUGUUUAGUCACCAGAUUAGAUCUCACUGAGAAAUAUAUCUCAAUGGUUAUAGUUGGCUGUUGCGUCUUGCAUCAGAUCUUUGAGGCCAAGGGGGGGGAAGCUGUCAUGACUGGAUGUCUGCUGACACAGGGGCCAUCACAAGAGCUGAGAAUGGAGCUAAUGAUUGAGGGUAGCUUUGAAAGAGCUGCAGUAGGGUGCUGUUCUGGAGUGUGCUGUGGGUGCUGCUAGGAAUUGGGUGGUACCUGCUGUCUGUUUAUAAAUAAGACUGUCUCUUUGCCAGGACAUGUGUGCACUGUGAUCCUGUACAUUUACAAGUACCGUGUGCUUUCCAUUUCCGGUGUGAAGUAAUAAAGAGAAUCUCAUUCUCAAAAAACAGAAAUUUAUUGAAUUGCACCAACAGCGCAGGAAAAAUCGAUGUGCAAAAAGCAUGCAAGGCAAUACAAAUGUUAAUUGUAAAUUAAUGGAAUGGAACUUGAAGAUUAGAAAGGCAGCAAACAUUUCUGCUCGUUUGAAUGCACACGUAGUCGAUUUUGACUACACAUAUACCAGGCGUUGGUCUCUCAGGUUAGAGUAUGUGAAGUUGUGGUUUCCCUUGCUGUCCCCUGGCAUGGAGUAGUAGGGAUAAGGAUGAGGCCCAUGAUUCUAUAUGGUAUGUAGGGAGCUGGAGUUCUCCAAGGAGUGCAAAGGGUGGGGAGUCUGGGAUUUCUGGACUUAUAGCUCACCAGGAUCUGCAGCGUUUGGGUUUACUGCGUGAGUAGACAGAUUACAUCCUCAUGCAUCCUUUUCCUGCUGGGACUCUCGUACCUUUCUCCCGAUCACUCUUGCUUUCUGCUACAUUGGCCCUCCAGCCCCUUUUUAUCAGUCUGAUGCAGCACUGGCUUGCAGGAUCUUGCUGGACAUAUCCUUCCUGGUCGUCUUCUUUCUCCUCCUUGUCAGGGUCAGGUGUUCUAUGGGAGUGGAGGGGGCAGCCCUCAAGGCCUCCAUGCUAGUAUCUGCUGAUAACAAUAGUCAGAUGUGCCAUAGGAUUUAGAGCCACUAGGGGAAGAGAAAGAUAAGAUUCAAAACUCCUUUCCCCUAUUCCCAUAAACACUUUUAAUAAGACAUGCUUAUUGACACUUCAGCUAUGGAGCACCUGGGCACAGCUCCACUCUCCAGCCCCAGGCAUGGUGAGUGUGGCCCAUCCAGGGCAAGAUGGAAGGGGGACCAGGGAAAGGAAUUUUGGUUGCAUGAAACAAUAAAAUUUCAGUCCCUAUUCUAAGGGUGGGAGCAUGGAGCAGUGGCACUGAGUACUGGCCCUGUUUUCCACAGGCAGUGGAGGUUUUAGCUGAUAUCUCACUGCAGAGCGUAACAAAGACACAGAGGGAGCAGCUGCUACUGGUGUCCUGAAGCCACCUGGGUUUGUAUGCCAUUAGCCUGUUUACUGCAAUGGUGCCAGCUGAACUCAUCACAGAGCAGUGCAGGAAAGCAUCCUACCACUGAGGAAGAAAUAAGGCAGCUAUCCCUAAAACCUUCGGCAGAGGAUUGCAGAGUAUCUCCUUGAACGUUUCAUUGAGGGACACCCCUAUGUACAUAAAACCAAACUGCCCUGCAUGGCUCACCCUAUCCCCCAUCUAGCCCAACAGGGGAAUGAAAAGCAGGUGCUAAUUCUGCCUCUGUUUGUUGUGCCACUAACUCUUCUAGUCUGAGUAGAACAAUGAAAAGUUGAUACCUUUGUCUUGACUUGGGGAUGGGCCGGGCGCCAUCUUUAAAUUUAAACAUUGUAAGGAAAAAUACAUGCCCGUGCUUACCUGAGGUCCCUUCCCCUUCAGCAGGCUCAUCCAUGUUUGGCUGGCAGGACUGGCUAGACUGGUCAGGCAGGUCCUGGCUCAUGACAUGGCUAGGCUCCUCCCCAGCUGCAUCUCCCCUAACUCCUAUCUUCCUCCUUGCUGAUCAUGGCAGGGGGCUCUGUCUCGGGCUCCUGUGAGGUAUCCAUUGUGGUCUGUGGCACACUACUGGGACCUCUGCCAAGUAUGGCAUGCAACUCAUUGUAGAAGCGGCAGGUCUGCGGCUCCGCACCAGAUCAAUUGUUGGCCUCUCUGGCCUUGUGGUGCGCCUGGCAAAGUUCCUUUGCUUUCACGCAGUCCCUGCCAUACCUCUUUGCCUGCACGCCCCUGUGCCUCUCUUUGCAGGUAUCCACAAUUCUGUGUCUGGUCCAUAGCUAUGCUUGCACAGCCUCUUCUCCCCAUAGGCGCAGGAAUUGCAAUACCUCCCGUGUACUCCAGUCAGGAGUGUUUCUGGUGCAUGGAGCUAGCAUGGUUGGUUGGGCAAUUGAAUGCAGCAAGGGUGAGCUGCUAGGUGUACUUGCCAAGGUGGGCCAUCAGGAAAAGGCAUUUCAGAAAUAUGCAGGGGACUUUAAGGGGAGUGGCUUUCGGUCUCUGACCCCUGGUCAGUGGAGUUCACCCUGGUCAGAAUUGUAAUCACUGUCACAGGAAAUGGGGAAUUGUGGGAUAGCUGAUGGAGGACCAUUAGGGUCAACAUAGUUCAUGUGGUGCCAUCAACCUCAGUAGUUCAACCAUGGCUCAACACCGUUUGGAAGGUGGUCUUACUGUGUCACUGUAAUGGGGCGCUGAUGUCGGCCGGAGAUUAAUUUAAAUGUAGACAUGUGCACAAAUAAGUUGACGCAAGGUGACUUGCAUCAGCCUAACUUUGGCAUGUAGACCAGGCCUUAGAACCAUCUAUAAAUUGUUGGAGAGCUCGGGGGUGGGGGGAAGGAGGAGCUUGUCUUCCAGAGUUCAUAGAAAUACUCAUUGCAGGGGAACCUGCUGACCCCCAGCAUGUGCAGCGAAGAGUUUGAUCCCAGUAUGGACAGGGUCUAAAUUGUGCUGGAAAUCCCUCUCCUGUGAACAUGCUAUUUGGGCAGUACUGCAUUCAAUAACUGGGGGCUGUGAGGGGAGUUUGAGUACUAAUUCCGAAGACUGAGUAUAGUAGCAGUUCCAUUUUCUGAUGAUUGAAUGGGAGGAGGUGGGAUCUCAAACUUAGUGUAGUGGUUUUGCUUUAGCACAAAAUAAUUCACUAGGGUCAGUCAAAUAUGGCCUUGGGCUCUUCAAACAAGUGACUGAUUUACUUGGCUUUAUGAUACAGUUAAUUACUAUACCUUAAAACAUUACUAUGUAUUGACAAUACUUUGUGUUUUGUUUA